CAGGGGUUAGUUUAAUAAAAUAACGGUUUUGGAGAUCGGAGAUAAAAAGAUUUUACCCCUGA
This 62-nucleotide transfer RNA is filed under the name Eucoptacra sp. OR509. RNAcentral's name for it is "tRNA-Pro". Lineage: Eukaryota; Metazoa; Arthropoda; Insecta; Orthoptera; Acrididae. The record is from RNAcentral.